Molecule: long non-coding RNA, 608 nt
Filed under: Danio rerio (zebrafish)
Lineage: Eukaryota; Metazoa; Chordata; Actinopteri; Cypriniformes; Danionidae
Description: si:dkey-85n7.9 (ENSDARG00000096709.2)
Source: RNAcentral
AUUUAAAGUAACGUACUUGGUUAAGAACAACGUAUUCCGUAAUUUUGUUCACCGUUAGAACUGUUAGAAUUUGAUCAGCCUCGGAGGAACCGGAAGCUUGUGAAUUUUCUUCAGUCUGUUGAUUCCGAGGAGUGUACGGAUUUUCAGUCUGCACAGCUGCAUGAGUGGGCGUGGAGGCACUGCAAUCAAAGGCAGCAAAUGAAUACACAGGUGACUCAAAUCAUCUGCAUAAAUGAAUAAUUCACGCUCAAGGUAUGGGUGCACAUACUUGCUUUCUCUUUGAUGCACUGCCACUCGUGGUAACUGGAUCUGUUCUUCAUAUGACAACAGCCAUAUCUGGAUGAUUUUGUCUUCAAGCGGGGGAAGGAUUUCAUGUUUGACCACCAGCACGCGCUGGCCACACAAGCACUCGAGCAGCUCCGGUGGGAAAACGAACAGCACAUCCCAUCUUUUUUUCUCGGAAAGUUAGCAACACUUUAAUCGCAGGAAUCCCUUACUAUGUGCCGUCAGCGCACGCGCGUGUGCAACUGAAAGCGCGUGUGGAAACUGCACAAACAAUUCUGAACACCACGCAAAUAAAUUAGUGAUAGAUCAAGCUUUGCAACCAG